Molecule: transfer RNA, 89 nt
Filed under: Dreissena polymorpha
Lineage: Eukaryota; Metazoa; Mollusca; Bivalvia; Myida; Dreissenidae
Rfam family: tRNA
About the family: Transfer RNA (tRNA) molecules are approximately 80 nucleotides in length. Their secondary structure includes four short double-helical elements and three loops (D, anti-codon, and T loops).
Source: Rfam by way of RNAcentral
GCCGGAAUAGCUUAGUUGGGAGAGCGUUAUAGUGAAGUUGUUUACGCAACAAUCAUCUAAAGGCCCCGGUUCAAUCCCAAGUUCCGGCA